Molecule: ribosomal RNA, 349 nt
Filed under: Pelobates cultripes (western spadefoot toad)
Lineage: Eukaryota; Metazoa; Chordata; Amphibia; Anura; Pelobatidae
Description: SSU_rRNA_eukarya
Rfam family: Eukaryotic small subunit ribosomal RNA
Source: RNAcentral
UGUAGGUGGAAGCAGCAGUGGAGGAGGAGGAUGAGGUAGCCAACACGGUUUGUUUUGUGUUUUUUUUUUGUUGUGGAAGCCCCCAAAAUAUUGGGACAUAUAAGAAAAGACAACUCUGUUCCGCAGAGUAGCUGUUGACAUUAUAGUUGCGCAGGAACUUUGUUGACUCUAGAGAACCUCGGGCAAAUUGCACAUCCCGGUAGCGGCGACUUUGCAUGCGGAUGUCAUCAAUAUCAACUUUCGAUGCCAGUUUCUGCGCUUACCAUGGUGACCACGGGUAACAGGAAAUCAGGAUUCCAUUCCAUACAGGGACCCUGAGAAACGGCUACCACAUGCAAGGAAGGCAGCA